This 498-nucleotide ribosomal RNA is filed under the name uncultured bacterium. Its description in RNAcentral is "partial 16S ribosomal RNA". It matches the Rfam family "Bacterial small subunit ribosomal RNA", at positions 30 to 523 of the family's 1533-position model. The record is from RNAcentral.
AUUGAACGCUGGCGGCAUGCUUUACACAUGCAAGUCGAACGGUAACAGGCCGCAAGGUGCUGACGAGUGGCGAACGGGUGAGUAAUGCAUCGGAACGUGCCCAGUCGUGGGGGAUAACGCAGCGAAAGCUGUGCUAAUACCGCAUACGAUCUAUGGAUGAAAGCGGGGGACCGUAAGGCCUCGCGCGAUGGGAGCGGCCGAUGUCAGUUUAGGUAGUUGGUGGGGUAAAGGCUCGCCAAGCCAACGAUCUGUAGCUGGUCUGAGAGGACGACCAGCCACACUGGGACUGAGACACGGCCCAGACUCCUACGGGAGGCAGCAGUGGGGAAUUUUGGACAAUGGGCGCAAGCCUGAUCCAGCAAUGCCGCGUGCAGGAAGAAGGCCUUCGGGUUGUAAACUGCUUUUGUACGGAACGAAAAGGUUUGGGUUAAUACCCUGGGCCGAUGACGGUACCGUAAGAAUAAGCACCGGCUAACUACGUGCCAGCCGCCGCUGUAA